ACAGCAACUCAGGAGCAAUAAAACUAAACCAGACUGGAGGCAUGCUGAAACAUUUGAGAACAGGUAGUGGUACUAUAGAUAUAUGCACUGUGGAUUAGGAUCACAGUAAAGAAGCCUGGAGUCUCAGAGAAGUAUGGCUCCAGGUUCUGCAUGGAGUAGGAUCCCAGUCAGCAGCAGGAGAAGCUUCUCUACUUUAGUGACCCUGUUCCAUUGUUCCUGGUAUAUACAGCUUUCUACUUUAGUGACCCUGUUCCAUCGUUCUUGGUACAGGAUCACUUCAGUUAUAAGUAACGCAUGUGCAAGUUCUGUUCAAGCUACAUUUUGCUCGCUUUUAUUAGACAAAGAAGCUUUAACACCGAAAGCUGCCACUAUCAAAAGUACUAACUUGUUGUGUGGAGGCUACUUAUGCUGUAAACGCAGUGCUAGAACAUCCAGCAGCUGAUGGCCAACUCACCUCUAGGUCCAGGCUGGAACGCCUCCACAUAGUCAGCCAAGGCAGGGUACCCAUACUCUCUGGCCACAACAGCAGCAGUUCGUCCAGAACCGCUGAACGAUGCUGCAGAUACUCUCUCUGCCCUAUCAGCCAAAAAUGGAGCUUUGCGAGACUAUUUUCAUAGAAAACCUCAAUCCCAGGCCGAUCCGUCUCCAAUUGAACGCUAGGUCACCUUCUCGAGGCUAGCACAAUGUUAGAUGGUGUUGAUAAAGCCACAGUAUUACAUCACACAUCUUCGUCAGCUCAAGCAUCUGAUCUGAUGAGGUUUCAAGCGUAAGGACGUCAACAACAUAGAACCUUUUGAGAGUGCAGCCGAUACUGAAAAUGAACCAUUCUCAACUAUCCCAAAAAAUGGUUUAUAAGUACAAUUUCAUGUGCGCAGCAUCUCAACAAACUUCUAGUAUACUCUAUGGGAUGCCAGAGCAGAUUGGAACAGCCUGGCCAUACAGUUGGACAUACCGUCAGGAACGCGUAUACACUGUUAAAAAUGGGGUGUUACGUAGCACACUAAUUUUAGUAGGUAAAUGUCAGUGGUGUGUUAAUGAACACACUCGUGUGUUUGUCGUACUCAACAACACACUUGGAGUGUAAUAGAACACACUUGGGUGACACAACAGAAUGGUGUGUUACUGAACACACUGACAUCCAUACAGUGGUGUAAAGUAGCACACGAUAUAUAAGAUAUUAAGAAGGUCUUUUUACUUUUCAGAUACCAGAAUUAAUAUUUAUGUUCCACUUAGUACAGUUAGAUCACCAAGAGUGCUAAGUAUGUGCAAGUGAAAUAAGAGUUGAAAUGCUGCAGUCCCUGCAAAUGCGGAAAACAACUUGCUAUCACUCUCAAAGGAAGCUUUAUACUUUGCAAACCCAGAAAUCCAGGUCCUAAAAGUAUGGCUAUAGUAUAUAGAAGCCUGCAAGAUUCUACAUGCAUGCUAUAUAGAGCUAAGUGGCUAAGUCCAGACCUUCUGUGUGCGCAUGCGCAUUGAGGCUAGAAGCACAUGUAGUGUGCUUUAAUUAAAAUCAACAAAGACUCAAGAACUGGAGAAGAACUCAAUUUAGCUCUAUACUAACUGCACUGAGUGUUUAGCUUUCCUGAAGAACAUACACUACUGCAGCACUUCAUGGAGCUUCCAAAGGCCAUUCAUGUGCCCAGAACUUGACCUCAUUUUUGACUUGAGCACUGGUUUGGGUACAGAAGUGACUAUUCUCUGGGACAUACUAACUGCUAUAAAUGUGCAGAAAAGUAUCCAGGACAAGACAAGAUGACAAGAUGACAAGAUGACUUCAAUCAAAAUGUGCUACUGCUGCUGUGCGCUCUUUCGUCAAAAAGGGAACAUGUGAUGUGCUGUCAUUAACAGUAAUGUGUUGUAAUAAUCCGUAUAACAUUUAAAUAGUCAUUCGUUGUAUAGAUGUGUUUUUAAUUUGUGUUAAAUGACUUGUACAUUUCGUUGAAA
This is a long non-coding RNA of Halichondria panicea, 1944 nucleotides long. RefSeq lists it as uncharacterized. The record is from RefSeq and is a predicted model, not a curated record. The transcript is spliced from 7 exons. Lineage: Eukaryota; Metazoa; Porifera; Demospongiae; Suberitida; Halichondriidae.